UACGUAGGGUGCAAGCGUUAAUCGGAAUUACUGAGCGUAAAGCGUGCGCAGGCGGCUUUGCAAGACAGAUGUGAAAUCCCCGGGCUUAACCUGGGAACUGCAUUUGUGACUGCAUGGCUGGAGUGCGGCAGAGGGGGAUGGAAUUCCGCGUGUAGCAGUGAAAUGCGUAGAUAUGCGGAGGAACACCGAUGGCGAAGGCAAUCCCCUGGGCCUGCACUGACGCUCAUGCACGAAAGCGUGGGGAGCAAACAGG
This 253-nucleotide ribosomal RNA is filed under the name uncultured bacterium. Its description in RNAcentral is "partial 16S ribosomal RNA". It matches the Rfam family "Bacterial small subunit ribosomal RNA", at positions 524 to 776 of the family's 1533-position model. The record is from RNAcentral.